GACGAACGCUGGCGGCGUGCCUAAUACAUGCAAGUAGAACGCUGAAGGAGGAGCUUGCUUCUCUGGAUGAGUUGCGAACGGGUGAGUAACGCGUAGGUAACCUGCCUGGUAGCGGGGGAUAACUAUUGGAAACGAUAGCUAAUACCGCAUAAGAGUAGAUGUUGCAUGACAUUUACUUAAAAGGUGCAAUUGCAUCACUACCAGAUGGACCUGCGUUGUAUUAGCUAGUUGGUGAGGUAACGGCUCACCAAGGCAACGAUACAUAGCCGACCUGAGAGGGUGAUCGGCCACACUGGGACUGAGACACGGCCCAGACUCCUACGGGAGGCAGCAGUAGGGAAUCUUCGGCAAUGGACGGAAGUCUGACCGAGCAACGCCGCGUGAGUGAAGAAGGUGUUCGGAUCGGAAAGCUCUGGUGUGAGAGAAGAACGAGUGUGAGAGUGGAAAGUUCACACUGUGACGGUAUCAUACAAGAAAUGGACGGCUAACUACGU
Molecule: ribosomal RNA, 494 nt
Filed under: uncultured bacterium
Lineage: Bacteria
Description: partial 16S ribosomal RNA
Rfam family: Bacterial small subunit ribosomal RNA
Source: RNAcentral